UACGUAGGGGGCAAGCGUUGUCCGGAUUUAUUGGGCGUAAAGAGCGUGUAGGCGGCCAGAUAAGUCCGCUGUGAAAUCUCGAGGCUCAACUUCGAGCUGUCGGUGGAAACUAUCUGGCUAGAGUCCGGAAGAGGAGAAUGGAAUUCCUGGUGUAGCGGUGAAAUGCGCAGAUAUCAGGAAGAACACCCGUGGCGAAGGCGGUUCUCUGGGACGGUACUGACGCUGAGACGCGAAAGCGUGGGGAGCGAACAGG
Molecule: ribosomal RNA, 253 nt
Filed under: uncultured bacterium
Lineage: Bacteria
Description: partial 16S ribosomal RNA
Rfam family: Bacterial small subunit ribosomal RNA
Source: RNAcentral